CCCUGCUUGCAGGGUACUCGAGUGGCGAACGGGUGAGUAACACGUGGGUGAUCUGCCCUGCACUUCGGGAUAAGCCUGGGAAACUGGGUCUAAUACCGGAUAGGAGCCAUUUUUAGUGUGAUGGUUGGAAAGUUUUUUCGGUGUAGGAUGAGCUCGCGGCCUAUCAGCUUGUUGGUGGGGUAAUGGCCUACCAAGGCGGCGACGGGUAGCCGGCCUGAGAGGGUGGACGGCCACAUUGGGACUGAGAUACGGCCCAGACUCCUACGGGAGGCAGCAGUGGGGAAUAUUGCACAAUGGGCGCAAGCCUGAUGCAGCGACGCCGCGUGGGGGAUGACGGCCUUCGGGUUGUAAACUCCUUUCGCUAGGGACGAAGCUUUUUGUGACGGUACCUAGAUAAGAAGCACCGGCUAACUACGUGCCAGCAGCCGCGGUAAUACGUAGGGUGCGAGCGUUGUCCGGAAUUACUGGGCGUAAAGGGCUCGUAGGUGGUUUGUCGCGUCGUCUGUGAAAUUCCGGGGCUUAACUCCGGGCGUGCAGGCGAUACGGGCAUAACUUGAGUACUGUAGGGGUAACUGGAAUUCCUGGUGUAGCGGUGAAAUGCGCAGAUAUCAGGAGGAACACCGAUGGCGAAGGCAGGUUACUGGGCAGUUACUGACGCUGAGGAGCGAGAGCAUGGGUAGCGAACAGGAUUAGAUACCCUGGUAGUCCAUGCCGUAAACGGUGGGCGCUAGGUGUGAGGGUCUUUUCACGACUUUCGUGCCGUAGCUAACGCAUUAAGCGCCCCGCCUGGGGAGUACGGCCGCAAGGCUAAAACUCAAAGGAAUUGACGGGGGCCCGCACAAGCGGCGGAGCAUGUGGAUUAAUUCGAUGCAACGCGAAGAACCUUACCUGGGCUUGACAUACACCGGAUCGGGCUAGAGAUAGUCUUUCCCUUUGUGGCUGGUGUACAGGUGGUGCAUGGUUGUCGUCAGCUCGUGUCGUGAGAUGUUGGGUUAAGUCCCGCAACGAGCGCAACCCUUGUCUUAUGUUGCCAGCAUUUGGUUGGGGACUCAUGAGAGACUGCCGGGGUCAAC
RNAcentral lists this ribosomal RNA (1073 nucleotides) under uncultured bacterium. Its description in RNAcentral is "bacterial SSU rRNA". It matches the Rfam family "Bacterial small subunit ribosomal RNA", at positions 74 to 1162 of the family's 1533-position model. The record is from RNAcentral.